UGGGGAAUAUUGCACAAUGGGCGAAAGCCUGAUGCAGCAACGCCGCGUGAGUGAUGAAGGCCUUCGGGUUGUAAAGCUCUGUCUUUUGGGACGAUAAUGACGGUACCAAAGGAGGAAGCCACGGCUAACUACGUGCCAGCAGCCGCGGUAAUACGUAGGUGGCAAGCGUUGUCCGGAUUUACUGGGCGUAAAGGAUGCGUAGGCGGAUUUUUAAGUGAGAUGUGAAAACCCUAAGCUUAACUUGGGGACUGCAUUUCAUACUGGAAAUCUAGAGUGCGGGAGAGGAGAAUGGAAUUCCUAGUGUAGCGGUGAAAUGCGUAGAGAUUAGGAAGAACACCAGUGGCGAAGGCGAUUCUCUGGACCGUAACUGACGCUGAGGCAUGAAAAGCGUGGGUAGCAAACAGGAUUAGAUACCCUGGUAGUCCACGCCGUAAACGAUGAGUACUAGGUGUAGGAGGUAUCGACCCCUUCUGUGCCGCAGUUAACACAAUAAGUACUCCGCCUGGGAAGUACGAUCGCAAGAUUAAAACUCAAAUGAAUUGACGGGGUCAUAGCUGUUUCCU
Molecule: ribosomal RNA, 563 nt
Filed under: uncultured bacterium
Lineage: Bacteria
Description: partial 16S ribosomal RNA
Rfam family: Bacterial small subunit ribosomal RNA
Source: RNAcentral